CCCCGUGUGGCUCAGUUGGUUAGAGCUUGGUGUUUGCAAUGCCAGGGUUGUGGGUUCGAUUCCCACGGGGG
RNAcentral lists this transfer RNA (71 nucleotides) under Salmo salar (Atlantic salmon). It matches the Rfam family "tRNA". From Rfam's summary of the family: Transfer RNA (tRNA) molecules are approximately 80 nucleotides in length. The record is from Rfam by way of RNAcentral. Lineage: Eukaryota; Metazoa; Chordata; Actinopteri; Salmoniformes; Salmonidae.